GCAGAGGGUUAAAUCCCUUCCAAAACCCCUUUUGUUCAGCCCCAGGGGCUCGUUUUAACUAACCUCGGGGAUUUCAGUGGAGUUAUUAGUCAAAGUGGUGCAGAUAGAUGUGGAUGGAUUAUAGCAGCACUGCUAAGUUUGCCAAGGAACUGACUUCAGAUGAACUGAUGCAAAUGUUCUUAAGAACAGUUUCCAUGCAGCUUAAGAGUGAGCAACAGCAAGAAAGGAAAAUACCUUAAUUAAAAUAGUUAAAUCACAUAAAGUUUCUCACUGGAUGAAAACAAAGAUUGCUUAGCAGAAAAAAGGCAAAGGGAUCCUAAGAAGAGGAGUGGCUAACACAGGGUAGUUCUGCACAUUCCAAAAGCCAUAGCUCAUCAAAAGCCCUGGGGUGAUUCAUGUCUUGGGGAAAGCAGAAAUACCUGGGAAGGAGGUGGAGCCAGAUCCAGCAUCUCCCUGGUGGGCAGGAAAGUCUCAUCAGUCUGUGAAGGCAGGAGGGUUUCAGGAGGAUGGAGGCAGGUUACUGGUUGCCACAGGAGAGGUACUCAGGCAAGAAUUUCUGCUUCUGCCCCCAUCACCUGGGCUGCUGUCAAGAUGUUUUCCUGGACAAUCCUCUUCUCUCCAGCAAAGACGCCGGGCUGAUGGGAAAGGCCAUGCCAGCGGGCAGGUUUUCACUUUCGCCUCAGCACACCUUGCGCUCCAGACACUUUGUGCCUUGCCUGCCUCUCAAGCAAUAGCCAGCCUUCAGAAGUCCUACUCCAGGUAAGAGGGUUGUAAGGGGGAAAAUGAAGUUGCUGAGAUUUGAAGGGAGAUAACACUGUCAGAGUAUUUUCAGAUUACCUUUCUUGCCACCUAAAUCACACAGAGGUUGUUAGAUUCCCUCUCCUCCUGACUCUCCACACCCAUGCACCCACCCUGGGUUACCUCUAAAACAACAACAACAUGGGACAAGAAGUUAAGUCCAGAAAAGCAAUUUUCCCGAUCUGCUGCUUUUGGUGGGAUUAGAGUUACUUUUUUUCCUAGUAGCUCCUAUGGGGCUGUUUCAGAUUUGUGCUGGUAACAGAGCUGAUAAUUCAGGGAUGCUUUAGUUGUUGCUGAGCAGUGCUUACACAGAGUCAAGGCCUUUUCUGCUUCUCACCCCACCCCAAGAGAGGAGGCUGGGGGACAAGGAGUUGGGAGGGGACAACCAGGACAGCUGAGCCUGACUGAUCCAAGGGAUAUCCCAGACCUCAUGGCAUCAUGCUCAGCAUAUAAAGCUGGGGAAAGAAGGAGAAAGGGGGGACAAUCAGAGUGAUGGCAUUUAUCUUCCCAAGUCAUCACUACAGGUGACAGAGCCCUGCUGUCCUGGGGAUGGCUGAACACCUGCCUGCCCAUGGGAAGUAGUGAAUGAAUUCCACAUUUUACUUUACCUGAUCAACUGUCUUUAUCUCAGCCCGUAAGUUUUCUCACUUUUACUUUUCUGAUUCUCUUCCCCAUCCCACUUGGGAUGAGUGACUGAGGGGCUGCGUGGAGAUUAGAUGCCAAAUGGGGUUAAAACACAACACCCUACCCACUUGUCCUCAGCACUUGAGCACUUCAUCUAUUUUAGAGGCACAAUUACAUCUUCCAAAUGGAUUCACUCAGAACAUCCAAAAAGGAAAAGCAUCUGUAUCAAACAUGCCCAAAUGUGGACACCUGUAAGCACACAUCAUAUGUGUCAAUUGUACUGCCAUCCUGUCUAAAAAACCACACACAGAUUGCUUCUGUGGUCUCUAAGACAUUAGAAACUACACAUUAAAAGGAUGCAAAGGCUAUUUUUAAAGUAAACCCCAGAAUCACAGAAUAUUCUGAUUUGGAAGGGACCCACAAGGAUCACUGAAUUCAACUCUAAAAUGAAUGGCCCAUACAGGGAUCAAAUCCACAACCUUGGCAUUAUUAGCACCAUGCUCUGACCAACUGAGCUUAAAAAAUGCUGUUGGAAUGCUUAAAUUUUCCCCUCCACACCCCAGUCCCAAAGGCCAGUCCACAACACUGAGGAUCAAGUGGAAAGUUUAGGCUCUUGCAACUGAUUUUUGUCAUCACUUCAGUGGCAGAUCAGGGCAGGAACAGCCUUUUUCUAACAGCAAAUUGGCCACAGUACCUUUGAGUCCCCUUCUCCCCACCCAUCUGCAUCACCACACAAGCUCAUUUCAAUGAAAAUGAUGUCAGUCUCUCAGCAAAAAGCCACUGAAAGCUUAGAGCAAGAGCACAGAAUAUCACCACUGAAUUGAUUCCAUUAAGGGAAAGUAAUGAUUUAUCAGACUCAGAGCCUGGAAACACAAAACAAAGUCCGUGGCAGAGCACAGAGAAACUCAUCAUCAACCAAGCAUGGAAAUAAGAAAGCUCUCAGCCUCCCACAAAUGAAGGAGUGAAAUACUGUGAUCAUGCCAGCAAGGGGUUCUUAGAGAUGUACAAAGAACCAGGAGGGAAGAAGACCAGAAGCUUCGUAGUGCUGGCAGGAAAACACAAGCAGCUCCCACCAGGUGGGAUGAAGAGCAUUAACACCCCCAAGGUGCUGUCCUGUAACAGCCUGUAACAAAACAGGUGCAACACCAAAAACCAUCCCAAAGCCGAACCCGCACGGCCUGGCCGUAAAACCAGCU
Corvus moneduloides (New Caledonian crow) is the source of this 2618-nucleotide long non-coding RNA. NCBI's taxonomy places the organism in Eukaryota, Metazoa, Chordata, Aves, Passeriformes, Corvidae. The record is from Ensembl.